GAUUCAUAAUAACUUCUCGAAUCGCAUGGCCUUGUGCCGGCGAUGGUUCAUUCAAAUUUCUGCCCUAUCAACUUUCGAUGGCAGGGUCUUGGCCUGCCAUGGUUACAACGGGUAACGGAGGGUUAGGGCUCGACCCCGGAGAAGGAGCCUGAGAAACGGCUACUACAUCCAAGGAAGGCAGCAGGCGCGCAAAUUACCCAAUCCCGAUUCGGGGAGGUAGUGACAAUAAAUACUGAUACAGGGCUCUUUUGGGUCUUGUAAUUGGAAUGAGUACAAUUUAAAUCCCUUAACGAGGAACAAUUGGAGGGCAAGUCUGGUGCCAGCAGCCGCGGUAAUUCCAGCUCCAAUAGCGUAUAUUAAAGUUGUUGCAGUUAAAAAGCUCGUAGUUGAACCUUGGGCCUGGCUGGCCGGUCCGCCUCACCGCGUGCACUGGUUCGGCCGGGCCUUUCCCUCUGGGGAGCCUCAUGCCCUUCACUGGGUGUGUUGGGGAACCAGGACUUUUAC
This 504-nucleotide ribosomal RNA is filed under the name uncultured fungus. Its description in RNAcentral is "SSU rRNA". It matches the Rfam family "Eukaryotic small subunit ribosomal RNA", at positions 248 to 755 of the family's 1831-position model. The record is from RNAcentral. Lineage: Eukaryota; Fungi.